AAAUUACCCAGUGGCCAUUAUUAUUGCCAAUGUUUAAAAGUAUUCCAACCAAGAUGGGUGGAAAAUCAACAGUGUUAUUUUUGUUCAUGAGCAUGAUAUGUGUUGACAUGUUUCCCUCGAAAAUUAAUAAUGGUAAUCAUAAAAUAGGUAUGGGCUCUGUGGAUAGUGGUCAAGAAAUACCUACGAAAACUACAGGAACCAAAUACCAGCAUCAUUCUCAUCAUUUGAUUCAUGUGGGAGCAAACGGAUGUCCACCAAAUCAACUCAAAGAUCCGAUUGGAAAAUGUCGUAAUAAAGAGAAUUGAAAACAAGAAUGUUGUUAUUUGAAGACUUAUUUCGCACCUUUUUUAUAGAUUAAUGAUUUUAUUAUGUAAAAUAUGCUAGCACCAAUAGAUGUGUAUUCUGAUCUA
Long non-coding RNA from Diorhabda carinulata, 410 nucleotides. RefSeq lists it as uncharacterized. The transcript has 2 exons. NCBI's taxonomy places the organism in Eukaryota, Metazoa, Arthropoda, Insecta, Coleoptera, Chrysomelidae. The record is from RefSeq and is a predicted model, not a curated record.